RNAcentral lists this unclassified non-coding RNA (337 nucleotides) under uncultured fungus. RNAcentral's name for it is "partial contains 5.8S ribosomal RNA and internal transcribed spacer 2". The stretch from base 1 to 133 matches the Rfam family "5.8S ribosomal RNA", at positions 22 to 154 of the family's 154-position model. Lineage: Eukaryota; Fungi. The record is from RNAcentral.
UGGCUCUGGCAUCGAUGAAGAACGCAGCGAAAUGCGAUAAGUAAUGUGAAUUGCAGAAUUCAGUGAAUCAUCGAAUCUUUGAACGCACAUUGCGCCCGCCAGCACUCUGGCGGGCAUGCCUGUCCGAGCGUCAUUUCACCCCUCAAGUCCACCCCCAGGGUGCUUGGUGUUGGGGGCCGGCCGGGAGAGCCCGCGCCGCCCCCGAAAUGCAGUGGCGACCCCGCCGCAGCCUCCCCUGCGCAGUAGCACACCUCGCACCGGAGCGCGGAGGCGGUCACGCCGUAAAACGCCCCAACUCUCACGAGUUGACCUCGGAUCAGGUAGGAGUACCCGCUGA